CUUCACUUUGAUGAAAGACCUACAUUGGUACCUGUUGUCGCUAAAUGAAAGAAAUCUGAAGAGGAUUUUCACUUUUACGAAAAAAGUGCAAAGUCAACAGGAUUAUGUGAAUUCCAGGAAGGUGAAGAAACAGUCAAGUAUGAAAACUAUGACUUCUGAUUUGGUAUCCUUCUGAACAGACACCUGAUGAAAGAACUACCAAAGAAUGUACUUCAGCAAGGAGAAUGAAUACGGGAGGAGUGGACCUGGAGAAGCACUGAACUUGGGAAAAAUCACAACUGAAUUUUAAAAAGUGUGUAACUUUUGAUUUUGCCUUGGGAAAUACAUUUCUAUUCAAUG
This is a long non-coding RNA of Lagenorhynchus albirostris (white-beaked dolphin), 339 nucleotides long. RefSeq lists it as uncharacterized. The transcript has 3 exons. NCBI's taxonomy places the organism in Eukaryota, Metazoa, Chordata, Mammalia, Artiodactyla, Delphinidae. The record is from RefSeq and is a predicted model, not a curated record.